ACCCUAAUUCCAUGCUAAAUCGUGAAUCCGUUUUUUCCCAAUUUCGUGAACCGAUUCGUGAAUCCCUAAUCCGUGAAUCCAUUGAAGAAUCCCUAAUUCAAAAUCCCUCGUUAAAGGGUUUCUGAAUCAUCAAAGGUUUUCCAGAACUAUCGGCUUUGUGGAUGCUGGAAUCAACUUUUCUUUGCAAGUUUUCAAGAAUGCUCAUCUUACUUAGUGGAGGCAGUAAGCAGUUGUUGAAUGCAAGUUAAUUUGGAACCGAAGCACUAUAUCAUCCGGGAUUUUGCAAAGACAACUCUUUCUCAAGAUGACUAAAAGAGGUGGAAAAGCUAAGGUAUUAGCACCAGGAAAACUUCAAGAAGAACGAAAUCGCAUAAUUAACAAGAAGCAUAUCGUUAGGAAACCUGCUCAAACAACAUUGUCUAUGCAGGAUGCA
Lathyrus oleraceus (garden pea) is the source of this 433-nucleotide long non-coding RNA. RefSeq lists it as uncharacterized. The transcript has 4 exons. The record is from RefSeq and is a predicted model, not a curated record. Lineage: Eukaryota; Viridiplantae; Streptophyta; Magnoliopsida; Fabales; Fabaceae.